This 584-nucleotide ribosomal RNA is filed under the name uncultured eukaryote. RNAcentral's name for it is "SSU rRNA". It matches the Rfam family "Eukaryotic small subunit ribosomal RNA", at positions 623 to 1203 of the family's 1831-position model. The record is from RNAcentral.
AAAGCUCGUAGUUGUAUUUCUGGUACGAUGCGCCUGAUCCGCGACGUCUACGUCUGUGAGUAUCGGAGCGCGUCUGCCAUCCUUCUGGGGAAUGUCUCUACCCUUCACUGGGCCGGAUUCAUGAUCCAGAUCGUUUACUUUGAAAAAAUUAGAGUGUUCAAAGCAGGCUUUGCUGUGAAUACAUUAGCAUGGAAUAAUGAUCUAGGACUUCGGUUCUAUUUUGUUGGUUUCUAGCACUGAAGUAAUGAUUGAUAGGGAUAGUUGGGGGUGCUAGUAUUGGGCGGCCAGAGGUGAAAUUCUUGGAUUCGCUCAAGACUAACUUAUGCGAAAGCAUUCACCAAGGAUGUCUUCUUUAAUCAAGAACGAAAGUUGGGGGAUCGAAGAGGAUCAGAUACCCUCGUAGUCUCAACCAUAAACUAUGCCAACUAGGGAUCGGUGAACUGUUGCAUUUUCGACUUCAUCGGCACCUUAUGAGAAAUCAAAGUCUUUGGGUUCCGGGGGGAGUAUGGUCGCAAGGCUGAAACUUAAAGGAAUUGACGGAAGGGCACCACCAGGAGUGGAGCCUGCGGCUUAAUUUGACUCAA